CGGGGAGCACCACAACAGGUGGAGCCUGCGGUUUAAUCGGACUCAACGCCGGGAAACUCACCAGAUAAGACAGCUGAAUGAUAGUCGGGCUGAAGACUCUACUUGACUAGCUGAGAGGAGGUGCAUGGCCGUCGUCAGUUCGUACUGUGAAGCAUCCUGUUAAGUCAGGCAACGAGCGAGACCCAUGCCAACAGUUGCCAGCUCGUCCUCCGGGAUGGUGGGGACACUGUUGGGACCGCCUCUGCUAAAGAGGAGGAAGGAAUGGGCAACGGUAGGUCAGCAUGCCCCGAAUUAUCUGGGCUACACGCGGGCUACAAUGGGUGGGACAAUGGGUAUCGACACCGAAAGGUGAAGGCAAUCUCCUAAACCCAUCCGUAGUUCGGAUUGUGGGCUGCAACUCGCCCACAUGAAGCUGGAAUCUGUAGUAAUCGUGUCUCAAAAUGGCACGGUGAAUAUGUCCCUGCUCCUU
Molecule: ribosomal RNA, 469 nt
Filed under: uncultured Methanomicrobiales archaeon
Lineage: Archaea; Methanobacteriati; Methanobacteriota; Methanomicrobia; Methanomicrobiales
Description: bacterial SSU rRNA
Rfam family: Archaeal small subunit ribosomal RNA
Source: RNAcentral